This 253-nucleotide ribosomal RNA is filed under the name uncultured prokaryote. RNAcentral describes it as "partial 16S ribosomal RNA". It matches the Rfam family "Bacterial small subunit ribosomal RNA", at positions 525 to 777 of the family's 1533-position model. The record is from RNAcentral.
ACGUAGGGUGCAAGCGUUGUCCGGAAUUAUUGGGCGUAAAGAGCUCGUAGGCGGUUCGUCGCGUCGGCUGUGAAAUCCCGAGGCUCAACCUCGGGUCUGCAGUCGAUACGGGCGGACUGGAGUUCGGCAGGGGAGACUGGAAUUCCUGGUGUAGCGGUGAAAUGCGCAGAUAUCAGGAGGAACACCAAUGGCGAAGGCAGCUCGCUGGGACGGUACUGACGCUGAGGCGCGAAAGCGUGGGGAGCAAACAGGA